GACGAACGCUGGCGGCGUGCUUAACACAUGCAAGUCGAACGGAAAGGCCCUGCUUUUGUGGGGUGCUCGAGUGGCGAACGGGUGAGUAACACGUGAGUAACCUGCCCUUGACUUUGGGAUAACUUCAGGAAACUGGGGCUAAUACCGGAUAGGAGCUCCUGCUACAUGGUGGGGGUUGGAAAGUUUCGGCGGUUGGGGAUGGACUCGCGGCUUAUCAGCUUGUUGGUGGGGUAGUGGCUUACCAAGGCUUUGACGGGUAGCCGGCCUGAGAGGGUGACCGGCCACAUUGGGACUGAGGUACGGCCCAGACUCCUACGGGAGGCAGCAGUGGGGAAUAUUGCACAAUGGGCGGAAGCCUGAUGCAGCAACGCCGCGUGCGGGAUGACGGCCUUCGGGUUGUAAACCGCUUUCGCCCGUGACGAAGCGUGAGUGACGGUAAUGGGUAAAGAAGCACCGGCUAACUACGUG
This 468-nucleotide ribosomal RNA is filed under the name uncultured bacterium. RNAcentral's name for it is "partial 16S ribosomal RNA". It matches the Rfam family "Bacterial small subunit ribosomal RNA", at positions 28 to 507 of the family's 1533-position model. The record is from RNAcentral.